This 545-nucleotide unclassified non-coding RNA is filed under the name Hevea brasiliensis (rubber tree). The record is from RNAcentral. Lineage: Eukaryota; Viridiplantae; Streptophyta; Magnoliopsida; Malpighiales; Euphorbiaceae.
AUUCAACCUUCCACAAGUUGGCCAGAUAAACCAUCUUUUGAUCAUCCAGGGAGAAAAAAAAAUGGGGGCUCUCACCGUUCCAUGUGCAUUGGAGCAUGCCUUGAGUAACAGUGGCAGAGAGAGAUGAAAAAGACUGAUCAGAACAUGUAAAGUUUGCACUUGACACAAAAGUAAACCUUUCAUGCAGAGUCUCAGAUUUAUAUUUAUGGUUUCCUGGAACUGAUGCUUCCUUGUAUAGGUUGUUUGAUGAACAAUUACUCAACACACUUGGAGAGUUCAUGUAAUCAUAACAUGUAGAUCCGUCAACAUCACUGAAACUCAUUUUCUCAAAAUUGGCAUCACCAUCAUAUGCACCAUAUUUGUGAAACAACGGGCUGUUAAGUAUAUUUGCCAUACUAUUACUACCCAUGACAGAACCAACAAUACAGUGUCCUGCUGGACCAAUAACCACACUCUCAUUCCCAGGUGCCAAUGGAUAGUCAAAAUGAAACCUAGGGAAAUCACAUGUAUUUCCACUCUUAAUUUUAGCUGGACUCAAGCCAUCA